AUUGAACGCUGGCGGCAUGCCUUACACAUGCAAGUCGAACGGUAACGGGCCUUCGGGUGCCGACGAGUGGCGAACGGUGAGUAAUGUAUCGGAACGUACCUUUCAGUGGGGGAUAACGUAGCGAAAGUUACGCUAAUACCGCAUAUUCUGUGAGCAGGAAAGCAGGGGAUCGCAAGACCUUGCGCUGAUUGAGCGGCCGAUAUCAGAUUAGCUAGUUGGUGAGGUAAAGGCUCACCAAGGCGACGAUCUGUAGCGGGUCUGAGAGGAUGAUCCGCCACACUGGAACUGAGACACGGUCCAGACUCCUACGGGAGGCAGCAGUGGGGAAUUUUGGACAAUGGGGGCAACCCUGAUCCAGCCAUGCCGCGUGAGUGAAGAAGGCCUUCGGGUUGUAAAGCUCUUUCGGCCGGGAAGAAAUCGUAUGGGUUAAUACCCUGUGCGGAUGACGGUACCGGCAUAAGAAGCACCGGCUAACUACGUG
RNAcentral lists this ribosomal RNA (481 nucleotides) under uncultured bacterium. RNAcentral describes it as "bacterial SSU rRNA". It matches the Rfam family "Bacterial small subunit ribosomal RNA", at positions 30 to 507 of the family's 1533-position model. The record is from RNAcentral.